CAGUAGCCGCGGGAAUACGUAGGGUGCGAGCGUUAAUCGGAAUUACUGGGCGUAGAGCGAGCGCAGGCGGUUUUGUAAGACAGGCGUGAAAUCCCCGGGCUCAACCUGGGAAUGGCGCUUGUGACUGCAAAGCUAGAGUGCGGCAGAGGGGGAUGGAAUUCCGCGUGUAGCAGUGAAAUGCGUAGAUAUGCGGAGGAACACCGAUGGCGAAGGCAAUCCCCUGGGCCUGUACUGACGCUCAUGCACGAAAGCGUGGGGAGCAAACAGGAUUAGAUACCCGCGUAGUCCCUGUCUCUUAUAC
This 301-nucleotide ribosomal RNA is filed under the name uncultured bacterium. Its description in RNAcentral is "partial 16S ribosomal RNA". It matches the Rfam family "Bacterial small subunit ribosomal RNA", at positions 509 to 807 of the family's 1533-position model. The record is from RNAcentral.